RNAcentral lists this ribosomal RNA (397 nucleotides) under uncultured bacterium. RNAcentral describes it as "partial 16S ribosomal RNA". It matches the Rfam family "Bacterial small subunit ribosomal RNA", at positions 523 to 918 of the family's 1533-position model. The record is from RNAcentral.
AUACGUAGGUGGCAAGCGUCGUCCGGAAUUAUUGGGCGUAAAGCGCGCGCAGGCGGUCCUUUAAGUCUGAUGUGAAAGCCCCCGGCUCAACCGGGGAGGGUCAUUGGAAACUGGGGAACUUGAGUGCAGAAGAGGAUAGUGGAAUUCCAAGUGUAGCGGUGAAAUGCGUAGAGAUUUGGAGGAACACCAGUGGCGAAGGCGACUGUCUGGUCUGUAACUGACACUGAGGCGCGAAAGCGUGGGGAGCAAACAGGAUUAGAUACCCUGGUAGUCCACGCCGUAAACGAUGAGUGCUAAGUGUUGGGGGGUUUCCGCCCCUCAGUGCUGCAGCUAACGCAUUAAGCACUCCGCCUGGGGAGUACGGUCGCAAGACUGAAACUCAAAGGAAUUGACGGGG